UAGUGUUCCUGUCAGGGGAGACACCAUGAUCAAUCAGGUGGUUUUCCCAGGGCAGGUGAUUGUCUCUGAUAUGUCCUCCAUCGGAGGUCUAUAUUGAGCAGAUUCUUUUUGGUGUUGGGUGGUGGAACCGGAGCGUGCUCCAUCCACUC
Molecule: small nuclear RNA, 149 nt
Filed under: Crocodylus porosus (Australian saltwater crocodile)
Lineage: Eukaryota; Metazoa; Chordata; Crocodylia; Crocodylidae
Description: U1 spliceosomal RNA (ENSCPRG00005013771.1)
Source: RNAcentral